RNAcentral lists this unclassified non-coding RNA (168 nucleotides) under uncultured Boletaceae. Its description in RNAcentral is "sequence contains ITS2". The record is from RNAcentral. Lineage: Eukaryota; Fungi; Basidiomycota; Agaricomycetes; Boletales; Boletaceae.
AAUUCUCAACCAUGAACUUUGAGAUCAUGGCUUGGAGUUGGAAGUUGCUGGCCGGAAGGUCAGCUCUUCUUAAACGGAUCAGCGAUCGAGUUGGCUAGUCUUUGACGUACACGGCCUCGGACGUGAUAAUGAUCGUCCUGGCUGGAGCGUCCCUUGAUUCGGUUGGCU